CUGCACAGAGAACACCCACUGGUGCUGGUGUACCUCCCCUGGUCUCCAUAUCUGUGCUACAGUGAAGUGUGGUCUGUUACCUCUGUCUUCUACAGGUAUUCAGCAGACCAGCACAACU
RNAcentral lists this small nucleolar RNA (118 nucleotides) under Hucho hucho (huchen). RNAcentral describes it as "Small nucleolar RNA SNORA22 (ENSHHUG00000046391.1)". Lineage: Eukaryota; Metazoa; Chordata; Actinopteri; Salmoniformes; Salmonidae. The record is from RNAcentral.